RNAcentral lists this long non-coding RNA (962 nucleotides) under Crocodylus porosus (Australian saltwater crocodile). RNAcentral describes it as "lncRNA (ENSCPRG00005013116.1)". Lineage: Eukaryota; Metazoa; Chordata; Crocodylia; Crocodylidae. The record is from RNAcentral.
CCACAUCAUAUGGUUUUAUGGCAUCUGAGGAGGGGUUUCUGCAAGGAGAACAGGAAUUGACCUGUCAUGAUCAAGCAUGGAAUUGUUUAGGAAAACUAAUGCAUCUGUGGAUUCCUGAAAACUGCUGAAGAAAAGGCCUUCCAGAUGGGACCAUUGUCAAGAAAUUGUUGGAGUUUGGCCGGCAUGAGGCAGUGCACACUGCAACAAAUAGAAGAGAUUGACGUAUCAGAAGCAGGUCUGUCCUAAAAACUUUUUUCUAACUACUCAGUUGGUCUAAUUAAAAGACAUUUUAUCUACUCAAAGAACCUUGUCUGCUUCUGGAGGCAUUUUCUGUUUUGGAGAGACCCAGCCCAUAGUGCUGAUUGGUGGACUGUAUCUUGUCAGCCCUUCUCUUCCCUUGGUUUCCCUUCAGCAUGGACAAUUGCCUGAAACAGUACUAUACUGAGAACUUGUAUAUUGACUUCAGCCCAAGAUACGGUAUUCCAGAAUCGUGCACAGAAGACAUGCUGAGAGCAUAUGGGUGAAAUGUUUUUGCUGUUUCAAAUGUGAAAUGCGAUGUAUUUUAUAAUGCUGGUUGGUAUUUUUGUGGCCAGUUGUGGGUGACCAUAUAUUUUAAAGUUUACAGUGCAUCACUGGGGUGCCAAAACUGCAUGGGAGAAAAGUUUUAAUUGAAAUUUGACAGGCUUUAUCUAGUUGCUUCUUGGUGGUAGCUAGUUUUCUUUAAAGUGAGGUUUGACACGUGUUGAGUAAACUGGUUUGGAGUUAAAUUUUGCAAAUUAGCAAUUGUGUAAAUUAGUCCUAAUCUUGUUUUAGUACUUUUCAAAUGAACUAUUAAACAAGAGACUGAACAGAUCUGUACUCUGUAUUUAUAUUAAACUUGUAUUAAAUUGAUCUUUGAGCUAACAUUGGAUCACUAUGCUACUGGUGUUGUAGCUUCCCAAAUACUUGACUAGAAAGGCCAA